AGGCUUCAGACAGGCAUGCAAGUUGCCUUUGGAAAGCCCCAGGGCACCGUGGCCAGGGUUCACAUUGGCCAAGUCAUCAUGUUCAUCCACACCAAGCUGCAGAACAAGGAGCAUGUGAUUGGGGCCCUACAUAGGGUCACGUUUAAGUUCCCUGGCCACCAGAAGGUCCACAUCUCAAAGAAGUGGGGCUUUACCAAGUUCAAUGCAGAUGAAUUUGAAUAUGUGGUGGCUGAGAAACAGCUCAGCCCAGAUGGCUGUGGGGUCAAAUCCAUCCCUAGUCAUGGCCCCCUGGAGAAGUGGCAAGCCUUGUACUCAU
Molecule: long non-coding RNA, 316 nt
Filed under: Homo sapiens (human)
Lineage: Eukaryota; Metazoa; Chordata; Mammalia; Primates; Hominidae
Description: non-protein coding lnc-KIAA2013-3:1
Source: RNAcentral